AAUCAAAAGAUCACUUUUUCUUUCUCCUUUCUUCUUCUCUUUGCCGUGGCUUCUCCUCUCUUAAACCCCAUCUUCAUAAAUUUUUCCUUUCCACCAUUUUCAUUAAAGAUCAAGCUUGCUUUCCAUUAGUUCUUUGCUAGCUCAUUUCCUUCUUGAGGAAACGAGUAACGGUGUUUAAUUGCGCGUUCGAUUGUGUGAUUGGAAACUUUUGCCGAGAUGACAUUCAUGAGCGUGGUGCCGUCGGCCACGAGGAUGAGAUUGAUUUGGAGCGCUCUUAGGAUUGUGGUGUUUGUGAUGAGACGUUCUCCACCACAUCCAUUUGAUCAGACCUAGAGUCUUAGUUCAUUUUGCUUACGUUUCUAGUUUAUUUUGAGAUGUAGUACCUUGACAGACUAUUAUACUUAUGGUGCCUUAGUGGCCUUGCGAUACAUUAGGUUCACGUAACCGUCUUUGUGGUUCGUGAACUAAUUGUAUCCCUUUUGAUAUGUAUAUUAUUCAGGUGAACACUUGCUUCC
This is a long non-coding RNA of Trifolium pratense (red clover), 515 nucleotides long. RefSeq lists it as uncharacterized. The record is from RefSeq and is a predicted model, not a curated record. The transcript is spliced from 3 exons. Lineage: Eukaryota; Viridiplantae; Streptophyta; Magnoliopsida; Fabales; Fabaceae.